RNAcentral lists this ribosomal RNA (471 nucleotides) under uncultured bacterium. Its description in RNAcentral is "partial 16S ribosomal RNA". It matches the Rfam family "Bacterial small subunit ribosomal RNA", at positions 28 to 507 of the family's 1533-position model. The record is from RNAcentral.
GACGAACGCUGGCGGCGUGCUUAACACAUGCAAGUCGAACGAUGAAGCCUAGCUUGCUAGGUGGAUUAGUGGCGAACGGGUGAGUAAUACGUGAGUGACCUACCUUUGACUCUGGGAUAAGCCUGGGAAACUGGGUCUAAUACCGGAUACGACCAAUCUCCGCAUGGGGUGUUGGUGGAAAGCGUUAUGGAGUGGUUUUAGAUGGGCUCACGGCCUAUCAGCUUGUUGGUGAGGUAAUGGCUUACCAAGGCGACGACGGGUAGCCGGCCUGAGAGGGUGACCGGCCACACUGGGACUGAGACACGGCCCAGACUCCUACGGGAGGCAGCAGUGGGGAAUAUUGCACAAUGGGCGCAAGCCUGAUGCAGCGACGCCGCGUGAGGGAUGACGGCCUUCGGGUUGUAAACCUCUGUUAACAUCGAAGAAGCGAAAGUGACGGUAGGUGCAGAGAAAGCGCCGGCUAACUACGUG